RNAcentral lists this ribosomal RNA (301 nucleotides) under uncultured bacterium. RNAcentral's name for it is "partial 16S ribosomal RNA". It matches the Rfam family "Bacterial small subunit ribosomal RNA", at positions 509 to 807 of the family's 1533-position model. The record is from RNAcentral.
CAGCCGCCGCGGGAAUACGGAGGGUGCAAGCGUUAAUCGGAAUUACUGGGCAUAAAGCGCACGCAGGCGGUCUGUCAAGUCAGAUGUGAAAUCCCCGGGCUUAACCUGGGAACUGCAUUUGAAACUGGCAGGCUAGAGUCUUGUAGAGGGGGGUAGAAUUCCAGGUGUAGCGGUGAAAUGCGUAGAGAUCUGGAGGAAUACCGGUGGCGAAGGCGGCCCCCUGGACAAAGACUGACGCUCAGGUGCGAAAGCGUGGGGAGCAAACAGGAUUAGAGACCCCAGUAGUCCCUGUCUCUUAUAC